Molecule: long non-coding RNA, 852 nt
Organism: Passer domesticus (house sparrow)
Lineage: Eukaryota; Metazoa; Chordata; Aves; Passeriformes; Passeridae
Exons: 3
Source: RefSeq, a predicted model, not a curated record
CACCAAGUCAGGUAACUCAAGACCCCUCACAGGUGUUCUCAGUGUAAUUAAAGCUAAUGAGUGUUUGUAGAACAGCUGUAUCCAGCCAUCAAAGUACCUGAAUACAGGACACUGUGUCUUCUGCAAGGUCCCUGAUCUCACAAAAGCGGGUCCUUGAAAACAGAGGCCAUUCCACCUGAGCAGAAGAACACAGAGGAGAAGACAAGCUUCUGGCACUAAUAAGGAGACCUUCUCCUUUCUCAAGAUGAAUCAUUAAUUAUUGGGCUAUGAGGAAGAAGAAGACACAUCCCAGAAGGGUCAGGCUCUUGGGCUUCUGAUGAUCCUUCUGGUUUGGACUCAGAGGUGACACAAGUUGGGGUGAGAAGCUUCAGGAUGUGGGUAUUUGCUGCAUGUCUCAUACUCUAAAAACUCCAGUGCCAAGGGAACUUCAAUCAAGCAAUGCACCUGAAAUGUUCAGGUGCACCAGGAAUGAGUAUUUCAGAGCCUCAUGGUGCUUUGUGUUGCACUUGAGGACCAAAUAAACACAUUUUAUGGGUUUAGACCAAUGUGCUCAUCCCUCUUCUAGUUUCUGGAUUUGCAGAUUAGUGUCCGCAUUUCAAUUUAUUGCCAGGUAGCAAAAGUGAAAACCACACAAUUCUUCUGAGUGAACUCCCCAUCUAAAUUAUCACUUCCUUUACUCUGAAAACACAAGGUAAACCUCAAUUCAUAGGAGCAUCUUCUUGCUAAGCAGCUAUUUAUUUGAUGCUUCAACAACACUUGAGGUUCUCAUGUCAAACUUUAAAGCAAUUAAAAAUGACGAUUUAUGAACUAAAGUGGUAUGGAAACCAUAUGUCAAGAGACACAGGGAGCGUC